GACGAACGCUGGCGGCGUGCUUAACACAUGCAAGUCGAACGGAAAGGCCCUGCUUUUGUGGGGUGCUCGAGUGGCGAACGGGUGAGUAACACGUGAGUAACCUGCCCUUGACUUUGGGAUAACUUCAGGAAACUGGGGCUAAUACCGGAUAGGAGCUCCUGCUGCAUGGUGGGGGUUGGAAAGUUUCGGCGGUUGGGGAUGGACUCGCGGCUUAUCAGCUUGUUGGUGGGGUAGUGACCUACCAAGGCUUUGACGGGUAGCCGGCCUGAGAGGGUGACCGGCCACAUUGGGACUGAGAUACGGCCCAGACUCCUACGGGAGGCAGCAGUGGGGAAUAUUGCACAAUGGGCGGAAGCCUGAUGCAGCAACGCCGCGUGCGGGAUGACGGCCUUCGGGUUGUAAACCGCUUUCGCCUGUGACGAAGCGUGAGUGACGGUAAUGGGUAAAGAAGCACCGGCUAACUACGUG
Molecule: ribosomal RNA, 468 nt
Filed under: uncultured bacterium
Lineage: Bacteria
Description: partial 16S ribosomal RNA
Rfam family: Bacterial small subunit ribosomal RNA
Source: RNAcentral